CUCUAUGUGAGUGGGGAGGGGAGGAAAAGGGAAUUUAAAGAACUAGAGCAAGAGAGGAGAAGGACAAAGUGCACGAAAUCAAAUAACAAAAAUUAAAGCCUUGUCUACUGGAAUACAUCAGAAUGAAAGCAAAAAUGGGCCUUUUACAGUCAUUAAGUAGCUAUGAAGGACUUUCGAAGUCAUGUAAUCCUGCAACUUCAAAAGCCGACUUUACCAUAGCGAAAGCUCUGCUAAUCACACAACAAUUGCAAAUUGAAAACCAAUCAGCUACAUCUGGAGCUGAUGGAGAAAGAUUUUAAUAAAAUUUUUAUUACAGGAAUUACUAUAAAAAUCACGUGGAAAACUAGCACCGACUUAGCACCGGAUUAUCAUGCUUUUAAACAUUUCUAUGAAGACCAUGGAAACCAUAUUAAUUCUACAACUAUAUAUAUGAAUUUGAUACUACCUACUAUUUUUGGGUCGCUAAUAUGAGUUAACUAAAUGUCAAAUUGCCUAAAAAUAUAAAGAAAGUGAAGUCGGUGGCCCAAUUAAUCGCUAUUUUGACGUUCAAGUUAGAGAAUAUUAAAAGCAAGUAUAUGAAAUGAGAGAUUUCCCAACGAGAUUAUCAGAUUCAUCAGAUUCAACUGAUAAAACUGUUAAAGCUUCAUCAGAUUUCUCAACGUGCAUGAUUCUUGGCGAUAAUCCCACUUACUAUUUUUAAUGAUUUGUCUAAUGCCACAUUGGAUAAAGCUUAUUUCUAUUGAACCGAUCUCUAUUUAAACUCCGUCUUGAUCAGUCUACAUUGGAUCGAGUCAGGUAUAAGAAGUUCAUCACCAUGGAGAUUGGCUCAAUUGUAGGGAUGAUACUAUACCAGGAUCAUUUAUUAUUGGUUUCAUCGGUCUAGCGAGAUGGUUAGAUGGGAGGAAAUGUUGCACUUUCAACUCUGCAGAGUACAAUAAAAAGGGCACAACUGCGACUGUGCGAAUACUAAAGGGUAAGAUGGCCGCGUCUUUAAUAAUUUUAACCAAGCCACCUUUUUACUGUAGAUAAAUGCAUUAAAAGAGACGAGUGUUCCUUUUAGAAUCAUUUAUCAUUAUUGUUAUGAUAUUGUUAUUUGUAAAUAAUAAUUCAUCAUUCAAAAAUUGGAAUGAAGAUUCAAAAAUUGUUAUGAUA
Molecule: long non-coding RNA, 1152 nt
Organism: Hevea brasiliensis (rubber tree)
Lineage: Eukaryota; Viridiplantae; Streptophyta; Magnoliopsida; Malpighiales; Euphorbiaceae
Exons: 3
Source: RefSeq, a predicted model, not a curated record